GGUGGGAGCGGGCUUGCUCGCGAUGCAAGCAAUGCGGUCUUUCUGGAUACGCUCAGCGCCCCUAUCGCGAGCAAGCCCGCUCCCACA
RNAcentral lists this non-coding RNA (87 nucleotides) under Pseudomonas psychrophila. Lineage: Bacteria; Pseudomonadati; Pseudomonadota; Gammaproteobacteria; Pseudomonadales; Pseudomonadaceae. The record is from RNAcentral.